AAGAAGGCCUGUGCGGACAAGCCCUGUGCGCACGGCACGCAGUAUACCUAGGCCUAGCGCAUGCAAAAGUAGGCCCGUGCGCCUGCAGCCUACAGUGCAUCGGCCAGGCACUGUCACCUCGGGUAGUGCACCGCCACUGCCUUGGGCAGCGCACUGCUACCGUCGUUGGUGGAGGAAAUUUUCCUCCCCCCAUUUUUUAUGCCAAGAAUCUUUUCUCUACUUUCUUCACCAGAUUUUGCC
RNAcentral lists this long non-coding RNA (240 nucleotides) under Carica papaya (papaya). RNAcentral describes it as "long non-coding RNA (CPAP_LNC008299)". Lineage: Eukaryota; Viridiplantae; Streptophyta; Magnoliopsida; Brassicales; Caricaceae. The record is from RNAcentral.